Long non-coding RNA from Arabidopsis thaliana (thale cress), 239 nucleotides. RefSeq annotates it as other RNA. The transcript has 2 exons. The record is from RefSeq. NCBI's taxonomy places the organism in Eukaryota, Viridiplantae, Streptophyta, Magnoliopsida, Brassicales, Brassicaceae.
GCGGUUUCUGCGUCAUAUGUACAAAAAGCUGAUUACGACCUUUGAGAGGUAAGAGACGUCCCACUUUCACAAAAACAAAUGGAUUGAAAAUUACGCGUUGCACUUUGAAGAAUAUGUUCUCUCUCUUUCUCUUUAAUUAUACAGAUGUUUUGUGUUGAGAAAACAAUUUGCAUCUUACCUCGUACGUCAUCACUAAAUGGGUAAGUACAGUAUGUGAAUGAAGUUUUCUAAGUAGAUCC